Molecule: ribosomal RNA, 823 nt
Filed under: Arenopsaltria fullo
Lineage: Eukaryota; Metazoa; Arthropoda; Insecta; Hemiptera; Cicadidae
Description: SSU rRNA
Rfam family: Eukaryotic small subunit ribosomal RNA
Source: RNAcentral
CGUUAAUCAAGAACGAAAGUUAGAGGUUCGAAGGCGAUCAGAUACCGCCCUAGUUCUAACCAUAAACGAUGCCAGCCAGCGAUCCGCCGAAGUUCCUCCGAUGACUCGGCGGGCAGCUUCCGGGAAACCAAAGCUUUUGGGUUCCGGGGGAAGUAUGGUUGCAAAGCUGAAACUUAAAGGAAUUGACGGAAGGGCACCACCAGGAGUGGAGCCUGCGGCUUAAUUUGACUCAACACGGGAAACCUCACCAGGCCCGGACACCGGAAGGAUUGACAGAUUGAGAGCUCUUUCUUGAUUCGGUGGGUGGUGGUGCAUGGCCGUUCUUAGUUGGUGGAGCGAUUUGUCUGGUUAAUUCCGGUAACGAACGAGACUCUAGCCUGCUAAAUAGACGAUUUCCGGUAUCCACAAUAGUGCUACCGGCGAAAUCAAUAUCUUCUUAGAGGGACAGGCGGCUUUCAGCCGCACGAAACUGAGCAAUAACAGGUCUGUGAUGCCCUUAGAUGUCCUGGGCCGCACGCGCGCUACACUGAAGGAAUCAGCGUGUACACCCUGGCCGAAAGGCUCGGGCAACCCGUUGAACCUCCUUCGUGCUAGGGAUUGGGGCUUGCAAUUGUUCCCCAUGAACGAGGAAUUCCCAGUAAGCGCGAGUCAUAAGCUCGCGUUGAUUACGUCCCUGCCCUUUGUACACACCGCCCGUCGCUACUACCGAUUGAAUGAUUUAGUGAGGUCUUCGGACUGGUGCGCGGCGGCCGCCUGCGCGUCCGCCGAUGCCACCGGGAAGAUGACCGAACUUGAUCAUUUAGAGGAAGUAAAAGUCGUAACA